GCCGGCAGCUAGCUCUCUGCAACUCUCACAUGGUCGCCCACUGAAGCUAAGCACGGCUGAGCCCGGUCAGUGCCUGGAUGGGAGACCACAUGGGAAAGCUAGGUUGCUGUUGGCA
Molecule: ribosomal RNA, 115 nt
Organism: Danio rerio (zebrafish)
Lineage: Eukaryota; Metazoa; Chordata; Actinopteri; Cypriniformes; Danionidae
Source: Ensembl